Kogia breviceps (pygmy sperm whale) is the source of this 1693-nucleotide non-coding RNA. NCBI's taxonomy places the organism in Eukaryota, Metazoa, Chordata, Mammalia, Artiodactyla, Physeteridae. The record is from RefSeq and is a predicted model, not a curated record.
GUUGGCCAUUGUCUGAACAUUGGCCCCUGUAGGUGGAGGUUAAAUGUGAUGGUCAAACAACUGAAAUCGCUGAGAUGCUCAAACAAGAACAAAAAUGGAAAUAAAAAUUAACAAAUUCAAAUGUCCAGUUUUCCAAAAUAGUGAUGUGCAUUUAGAUGUUUUUGAGGAUCUAAGUGUUUUGCUAUAAUAGUAAUUUCUUAUUAUGUUGCUACAAAUAAAAUGAUUAUAAAAUAUGAGUUAAAUAGAAAGCACCGUGAUUGUGGUUUACACUUUCAAACGUGGUGUUUCUCAUCUGUAGGACUUAUUACUCCAUAAGGAAGCAUUGAGGAAUGACUGAGAGCAUGUGUUCUAGAGGCCUGGGAUCAAAUUAUGUCUCAGACUUUUCCUAGCUGUGUGACCUCAGGCAAAAAACUGUUCAGAAAGACACUCUGGUACUGUUCCCAUCAUGCUCUUUGGGGAAAUAUAGCAAACCUAUAGGUGUCUAUGUAAGGCUUGUGUCCUCAAAAGACCUUGAUUUUGAUGUGAAGGCAAAGGCAAUAAAAGAUGUAAAGCAACUAACCUGGGCCCCUUCUAAGUGCCUAGCACUGUUCUGGACACGUGGGGAUACAUCUGGAACCAAAUGGAUGAUAACCGCUGCCCAGUGGAGCUUACCUUUCUUCAGUGAAAUAAGCUAGGUUGCAUGACCCAGUUUUGUCCUUCAGAAAGGAACAGCAUCUUGACUCUGUCAACUUGCAUACCACAUGGGGUCGGUAAAUUACUAAAACUCUCUGGGCUUCAAAUUGGUCACCCACAGAUACGGGUUAUGCAGAUAACAGGAACUCAACAAAAAGUUGUGAGAAUAAAUAGAUAAUAUAAAAGUGUCUGAUAAGUAAUAAAUGCUCAAAUAUACUAGUUGCUAUCUCCUCCUCUUAAAAUGAUGUAGGCUUUCUUAUGUUUUCAUUCUGGAUUCUUCAAAGGGCCAAGUCCUUCAUUUUGAGACUCCUGGAGACUCACAUAUGGCAACUCUCGGUGAAAAUUUGGUAGCAUGAAUGAAAUACUCUUUUCUACAUAUUCAAAAUAUGUUUUCAACAUGAACAUUGAGGAUGCUUGGAAGCAGAAUCACUGACCCUUUGUGAAACCUAAGCUAAAUACCACACUCUUCUUAAUGCCAAGAAGCAGAGUUGGGUUUAUUAACACUUGCACAAAUGUGUGUAUGUAUGUAAGGGUGUUCCCUUAGACAAACUUUGCUACUCACUUUGGAAGGCAUGGCUGACCCUUAGUUGACCUGCUACAUGAGGUACAAAUCAACUGGGUAACGGAGGGCCUUUUUGCAAUGUCAAAACUCAAUGCUCAUUCAAUAUUCUCUGGACUGCUCCGGGCAUUGUAAAAGCUGUAAAUUUGUAGGUCUUUGAUGUCUAGCCUCCAGUCAGUCCCUGGUCCCAUUUGGCUUUCUGUAAAAUUAAGUCUCUCAGUGUGGCUGUCCAGAGUAACCACGAAAGAAUGUUUAUGCAGUAGGAACAGUUUCUCUGGACAGUUUUUCACUGAGAUCAGUGGUGAGCCUCUGGCAUCCUGAUACUUACAGACUUCUUAGUGUGACAAUUUUGGCGUCAGUUAUCCAGAGAGAAGCAUUGUCAGUGCAACAGGAAUUGGCCCAUGUCAAGCUGACAGAGUUACACUGCUAGCUGAGGGGGACUGCUGGUGUAUAAGUCUCACA